GUGGUUUUGGUUUCCCUCUU
RNAcentral lists this microRNA (20 nucleotides) under Bos taurus (domestic cattle). Its description in RNAcentral is "bta-miR-2301". The record is from miRBase by way of RNAcentral. Lineage: Eukaryota; Metazoa; Chordata; Mammalia; Artiodactyla; Bovidae.